This 374-nucleotide ribosomal RNA is filed under the name uncultured bacterium. Its description in RNAcentral is "bacterial SSU rRNA". It matches the Rfam family "Bacterial small subunit ribosomal RNA", at positions 521 to 896 of the family's 1533-position model. The record is from RNAcentral.
UAAUACGGAGGGAGCAAGCGUUAUUCGGAAUUACUGGGUGUAAAGCGCGCGUAGGUGGUCGUGUAAGUCAGGCGUGAAAUCCUCUGGCUUAACCAGAGAAUUGCUCUUGAUACUAUGCGACUUGAGUAUGGGAGAGGAAGGUGGAAUUCCUAGUGUAGCGGUGAAAUGCGUAGAUAUUGGGGAGAACACCGGUGGCGAAGGCGGCCUUCUGGCCCAAUACUGACACUGAGGUGCGAAAGCUAGGGGAGCGAACGGGAUUAGAUACCCCGGUAGUCCUAGCCGUAAACGAUGGGCACUAGGUGUAGGGAGAAAAUCUUUCUGUGCCGAAGCUAACGCAUUAAGUGCCCCACCUGGGGAGUACGUUCGCAAGAAUG